GAAGGAGGAGCUUGCUCCUCUGGAUUAGUGGCGAACGGGUGAGUAACACGUGAGCAAUCUGCCCUUGACUCUGGGAUAAGCGCUGGAAACGGCGUCUAAUACCGGAUACGACCCUCGGAGGCAUCUCCUGUGGGUGGAAAGAACUUCGGUCAAGGAUGAGCUCGCGGCCUAUCAGCUUGUUGGUGAGGUAAUGGCUCACCAAGGCGACGACGGGUAGCCGGCCUGAGAGGGUGACCGGCCACACUGGGACUGAGACACGGCCCAGACUCCUACGGGAGGCAGCAGUGGGGAAUAUUGCACAAUGGGCGCAAGCCUGAUGCAGCAACGCCGCGUGAGGGACGACGGCCUUCGGGUUGUAAACCUCUUUUAGCAGGGAAGAAGCGAGAGUGACGGUACCUGCAGAAAAAGCACCGGCUAACUACGUGCCAGCAGCCGCGGUAAUACGUAGGGUGCAAGCGUUGUCCGGAAUUAUUGGGCGUAAAGAGCUCGUAGGCGGUCUGUCGCGUCUGCUGUGAAAACCCGAGGCUCAACCUCGGGCUUGCAGUGGGUACGGGCAGACUAGAGUGCGGUAGGGGAGAUUGGAAUUCCUGGUGUAGCGGUGGAAUGCGCAGAUAUCAGGAGGAACACCGAUGGCGAAGGCAGAUCUCUGGGCCGUAACUGACGCUGAGGAGCG
Molecule: ribosomal RNA, 673 nt
Filed under: Agrococcus sp.
Lineage: Bacteria; Bacillati; Actinomycetota; Actinomycetes; Micrococcales; Microbacteriaceae
Description: bacterial SSU rRNA
Rfam family: Bacterial small subunit ribosomal RNA
Source: RNAcentral